UGGGCAGCUGCUAGGCAUGGAUCUGUUGGAUCCAGGGAAGCCCUGCGGCUGGUGGGACAUGGAUCGGGGCUGUGUCCUAGAGCAGUGUGCUCCUGGCUGGCUCAC
This 105-nucleotide microRNA precursor is filed under the name Dasypus novemcinctus (nine-banded armadillo). Its description in RNAcentral is "miRNA (ENSDNOG00000048663.1)". The record is from RNAcentral. Lineage: Eukaryota; Metazoa; Chordata; Mammalia; Cingulata; Dasypodidae.